Molecule: long non-coding RNA, 4526 nt
Filed under: Populus tremula
Lineage: Eukaryota; Viridiplantae; Streptophyta; Magnoliopsida; Malpighiales; Salicaceae
Description: long non-coding RNA (PTRE_LNC001290)
Source: RNAcentral
AUCCUCCUCGACACUUCUAACGUGAUAAUGCGUGGUCAAAUAAGGGUUAUAGGCCUGAUAAGCCUUCACCCACUCAGCCACGACAUCUUUAUCUUUCUUAUCGUCUUCUGGCUUCUUCUGGCUCUUCUUUCUUCUUUUCAGGCUCUUUCGCUGGUCCUACUGAGAUUAUGUCUGUGUGGCAAAUCUUUCUCAGUUUGGCCACUAUGUUCACUGCAUCGAUGUUCCCAACCACUGUCAGCUUCAUGUCCUUCAUGUCCAUGGAUAUUGAAUCCACCCCUGCAAAUUUCCAUCCCAAAACGCUUAAUUUACAAAAAAAAAAAAAUCACAGACGCUUCAAUAAUAUUAUUGAUUUAUAAUUCAAUGAUCAUAAAAUAAAAUCAAUACCUGGAAGACCAGAGACUCUCCGCAUAGCCUUUUUCUUGUCCUUGUCAUCGUGUAAAUCCAAUUUCAACACGGCUUUCUGCAACAUAUUACAAGUUCAUGUAAAUUCUCUUGUAUAAUCAAGAAACUAGAAGAAAAGAAAGCUUGACCCAUUCUUUCAUGCACGGCAUGCAUCUUAAUCUCAUAGCUGGGCACUAACAGAGAAUAUAGAGAGAGAAUUGAUCCUCACCAUCAUUUUUAUAGCUCUGAGAUGGAUCUGAUCAGAGAAGAUUGAAGAUGAAAGACAGCAACUAAAGAAAGUUUGAGGUGAAGAACUCAGACAGGAGGAGGUAAAGAUUAUAGACUUGUUGAGUUGAAGAGGCAUUGGCCGAGAUUUUAUAGUGAAGGGAAGAAAACUGUAGUGGCAACCUCACACGUCAGGACCAGAAGUCUAUGGUCAAUGGUCAAUGAACACACUGUUUGACCGGAAGGGGAAAGCUCCUUGGUGUUUCCAGUACUGCUGAAAAUUUCUUCGCUUUCAGUAGGUGUUUCUUGAAGUGAACUUAUUUUAUUUCUUUAUUAUUAAUUAACGACAAGCAGCUAAAAGGCAACACUUUUUUUAAUGUGUCUUUAUCUUUUUAUUUUUUACUUUAUGCUAUUCACGAAGCUCCAAUUGAUGUAUAAAAUUAUAUUUUUUUACUUCUAAUUUUAUUUGCAUUAAUAUUGUUUGUAGUACAAAGCAUGACAUUAAUAAAAUCAUCAAUUGUUUUAAAAUAAUAUUGCAGGUGUAUAUCCUCUUCAAAAAAAUCUUAAUACAUCAAAAAAUAAUUAUCUAUUACUUUUAAGACCUCUAUAAAAUAAUAAUGACAAUAUUUAUUAAUAAUAUAACUAUCAAUUUAAAAUUCAACUUCUUAUUAAAAAUAAAUUUAUAAUUCAAUAAAUAACCAUCAUCUCUAUACAGAUUCAAUUUUACAUCAAAAUAUGAACUAAAUAAUAAAAUUAGCUACAAAUAAUUGGUACCCAGCUAAUUAUUCAUUACUUGUUCAAUUUAAAUUUAUUCAACUUAAAUUAAUGUCUUUUAAUUAUUAUCAAUUUCAUAAAAAAAAUAUUUUUUAAAAAUUUCAUUAAAUUUCCAACUUGACAAUAAAAUUAACAAAAUAUAAUUAGUAUUCAUUAAACAACUUAUCAUUUUUUCAAUUAUAACAUAUCUAAGCUAGAAAGUAAAACUUAAUUUUAUCAAAUGACAAAUAAAAUUAAUUCCCUCUAAAUCUCAAACAAACAUUAACAUAUAAAUUAUAUAUUAAUACAACAAAAUUCUCUAAAAAAAAGUUGCAAGACACUUAAAUAUUCAAGCAAACUAUAAAUAUUACACAAAAAUUUUAAUAAAUUAGCCUAAAACAUGAAUAAGUUAAAAAAAAUAAAUUUACCUACUUAAUAUAUAAUAUGAAGCUUCACAAGAAAUUGAAAAUAGAUUUAGGUCACUAGUGGUGAGGGUUUAGAAGAUGUUUCGAAGUGGUAAUAGUUAUUUUUUAAAGUGUUUUUUAUUUCAAAACAUAUUAAAAUAAUAUUUUUUAUUUUUAAAAAAUUAUUUUUGACAUUAAUAUAUCAAAAUGGUCUUAAAACAUCACAAACAUAUUAAUUUUAAAAAAAUUUGGAAAUGGUUUGUUUUGGAGGUGAAACCAUCAUUGAUAGGAGUCGCCUAACAGAAUUAGAGUUCUACAUCAGCUGUAAGUUUAUAGUUUAUAGGAGACUAGAGGUUUGCAAGAAUUAUGACCGUGUUAAAGUUAGAAUCAAUGUUAGAGUUUUAUUCUUAUUAGGAGAUAGUUAUUUGAUUAAUUUCUUCACGUUGUUAGAUAGUGUUGAGAAGUCUUUGCCUAGUAUGAUUUGUAAAGGCUAUUUAAAGCCAUCUUGAUUAUUUAGAAUACAUAGAAAACUUCAAGAGAUUUGUUCAAAAGUGGGAGAUCAUACUGGUGUAAACAUGAGUAGAAUAGGAACUUUGGAGAAGGAUUUGGUGGAAUUAGUGGGGAAAGUGGAAAGUCUGAUUGUUCUGUCACGAAGGGAGGUUGAUAGAAAGGCACAGAUGGCGCAAAAAAUUGAGAAUUUGAUGGAGGAGUUGACCCUUGAGAAGGAAAAGAACUUCAAGUUAAAGAUGGAAUUGGAGACUAUCAGAGAAGGAACUGUUGAGAAGGGUUUAGUGGAAUUAAAGGGGCAAGUGGAGAGUAUGUAUGUUCUGUUACGAAAGGAGGCUGAUGGAAAGGCACAGAUGGUGCAAAAAAUUGAGAAUCUGAUGGAGGAGAUGAUCCUUGAGAAGGAAAAGAACUUCAAGUUAAAGAUGAUAUUGGAGACUAUCAACUUCGUGUCUUCUGGUGCGUCUACCGCUGCUGCUUUCAAUUGAUUAAGUUUUUUUUUACAAUGAUAUUAAGUACGGAAUGUGUUGAAGAUGGAUAUUUGGCAUGUCUAGAUUCUUAUUUCUUGAGUUUUUAGGAAAAUAAAUAUUUUUCUUACUUGGUUUUAUUUUUCUUAAGUUUUCUUAUUUGAUGCUUCGGCUACUGAACUCCUUGCAUAGCAGUUCCUUUUACUUCCAGGCACCUUGCUCUUUGUUUUUCCAGAUGAAUUACAUUUUUGCUUAUCACUGUAAUCAUAGCAUCAAGUGUUUGAUGUAAUUGAAUUUUCAAUAAUUAAACACUUACAAAUAACUUUUUUUUUUGUGAUUACUUGUAUACUUCUCGUAAUUGAAAGUAAUGCGUGAUUCGCCAUGCAACUUGAGAAGAUAUCAUGAUCAUAAACUCCUCUGUCACACUUUGCAAAACACUAAUAUAAAAGAGUGAUAAAUACUGGCUGGAUUUACAAGGAUUGUGGCUGAAGUUAAUUACAACAAAACAAGGGAAGGGGCUGCUUUAUUUUUUUAUUUUUUUGGCAUGAAGAAAAAGAAGAAGAACGUGGGGUGAGAGAUAACGGUUGGGUUUUUUUUAUUUAUUUUAUGAACUAUCAGGUUUUAAUUUAUUUAAUUAUGUAAAUUGACUAUUUUGUCGGGAAAUGCUGAUGUGUCAAAUUUUUUACAUAAUCAAGUUGUUUUUAACAUUAAAACAGUGGAUUGGAAUGUGGUUUUUGAUUUGAUUCCUCAUCAUCUGUCUUACUGAAUAAAAAUUAGUGACCUGGAUUUUUCAUACACAGGAAUUGACCUGUGUAUCCUAUAAUUGGACUUAUUCAUUGUAUAGAUGGUGGUUGCUAUCCCCAGUUCAUGGCUGUAGCGGUGGAGGAGAUUCUUGAAAGGUAGCCAUGGAGAGAUGACAGAUUAGGAAAGGUCAAUAUUAUUGUUCUGUGAUGGGGGCCUUCAGACCAGUACUGGGGAUAUAUAUUGUGGCUAUCAUAGAAGUUAUUAUUGACUGGUUGUUUGUUGGAGUUUUUAAAGUUGAAAGGUUUGUCGAAACAAUAUUCCCUAGCUUUUUAUUGUCAUGGAUUGUAGGGUAUGGUUACAAAACCGAACCGGUUUAUGAAAUUAAUUUGGAAAUUGAUUGAUUUAGACUCUAUUUUAAAUCGAGUUUUAUAAUUAAUAAAAAAAAUUGAUACGGUAUGAUUAUUAAGAAUCUUAGUUGAGAAUUUAAUUAAUUUAGUUGAGAAUCCUUCUAACUCACAAUCUCUUGAAUAAAUCUCAUACAGGACAUAAUAAUUAUGACAUGGGAUGAAUAAUUUUGAUUAAUUUUUAAUAUAAUGUAUUUGGAUUUAAAUCUCAUAUCGGAUUUAAUAUAUAUAUAUAUAUAUAUAUAUAUAUAACAAACAAACAAACAUACUAAAUGAAGCUUGAUGAAACUGGGUAUUAUGCUUUAAUUAAGAAGUGAAUUUGUUUAAGCAUCUAAUCAAAAAAAUUAAGAAAUGACACAAUCAUUAGGAUCCUCUCGGCAUUUCUAACGUGAUAAUGCGUGGUCAAAUAAGGGUUAUAGGCCUGAUAAGCCUUAUAGCAUCUUUAUCUUUCUUAUCGUCUUCUGGCUUCUUCGGCUCUUCUUUCUUCUUUUCAGGCUCUUUUGCUGGUCCUACUGAGAUUAUGUCUGUGUGGCAAAUCUUUCUCAGUUUGGCCACUAUGUUCACUGCAUCGAUGUUCCCAACCACUGUCAGCUUCAUGUCCUUCAUGUCCAUGGAUAUUGAAUCCACCCCUGCAAAUUUCCAUC